Molecule: transfer RNA, 54 nt
Filed under: Staphylococcus aureus DAR3591
Lineage: Bacteria; Bacillati; Bacillota; Bacilli; Caryophanales; Staphylococcaceae
Description: tRNA-His
Rfam family: tRNA
About the family: Transfer RNA (tRNA) molecules are approximately 80 nucleotides in length.
Source: RNAcentral
GCGGCUGUGGUGAAGUGGUUAACACAUCGGAUUGUGGUUCCGACAUUCGAGGGU